AGGAUGAACGCUGGCGGCGUGCCUAACACAUGCAAGUCGAGCGAUUCUCUUCGGAGAAGAGCGGCGGACGGGUGAGUAACGCGUGGGUAACCUGCCCUGUACACACGGAUAACAUACCGAAAGGUAUGCUAAUACGGGAUAACAUGAGAGAGUCACAUGGCUUUCUUAUCAAAGCUUUUGCGGUACAGGAUGGACCCGCGUCUGAUUAGCUAGUUGGUAAGGUAACGGCUUACCAAGGCGACGAUCAGUAGCCGACCUGAGAGGGUGAUCGGCCACAUUGGAACUGAGACACGGUCCAAACUCCUACGGGAGGCAGCAGUGGGGAAUAUUGCACAAUGGGCGAAAGCCUGAUGCAGCAACGCCGCGUGAGCGAUGAAGGCCUUCGGGUCGUAAAGCGCUGUCCUCAAGGAAGAUAAUGACGGUACUUGAGGAGGAAGCCCCGGCUAACUACGUGCCAGCAGCCGCGGUAAUACGUAGGGGGCUAGCGUUAUCCGGAAUUACUGGGCGUAAAGGGUGCGUAGGUGGUUUCUUAAGUCAGAGGUGAAAGGCUACGGCUCAACCGUAGUAAGCCUUUGAAACUGAGAAACUUGAGUGCAGGAGAGGAGAGUAGAAUUCCUAGUGUAGCGGUGAAAUGCGUAGAUAUUAGGAGGAAUACCAGUUGCGAAGGCGGCUCUCUGGACUGUAACUGACACUGGGGCACGAAAGCGUGGGGAGCAAACAGGAUUAGAUACCCUGGUAGUCCACGCCGUAAACGAUGAGUACUAGCUGUCGGAGGUUACCCCCUUCGGUGGCGCAGCUAACGCAUUAAGUACUCCGCCUGGGAAGUACGCUCGCAAGAGUGAAA
Molecule: ribosomal RNA, 844 nt
Filed under: uncultured bacterium
Lineage: Bacteria
Description: bacterial SSU rRNA
Rfam family: Bacterial small subunit ribosomal RNA
Source: RNAcentral